AUCAUAUGCAAAUAACAAAUGGGAAACCUGUAGAUGACCAACCAUAAAGUCUCUUAACAGACCCUCUCUUACAGCUUUCUCAAUCAUCCCAUUAAAGGCUUCCAUUACAAUAACAAACAGCAAUGAAGUCAACAGAACUCCUUGCCUCAAAUCUCUGCUACUUUGGAAGUAACCUUCAAGGUUUCCAUUAACCAAAACUGAGAACGAAAUCGUAGAGAUACAGAAUUAAAUCUACUUACACCACUUAUCUCCAAAACUACAUCACCUGAGCAUAUACAUAAGAAACUCCAAGUUGAUCUGAUCAUAUGCCUUCAAAUAUCAAGUUUACAUAACAUCUCUAGAACCUCCUGACAUAUUCUUAAGUCAAUGAUUCGUUCACUAUAAGAACUGAAUCCAAAAUUUGGUGCCCUUUCACAAAAGCAUUCUGAAACUUAGACAUCAUUUUUCCUAGCACCUCAUUUCAUCUAUUUGCCAGAACUUUAGCAAUUAUCUUGUGCACCUCACUGACUAAGCUAAUAACGAUAAUUCUUAAUGCCAGACACUCCCGGUUUCUUAGGAAUUAUCACUAAAAAUGUGGCAUUAAAACUUCUCAGAAACCUGCCACAUUCGAAAAAAUAAGUGAUAACAUCCAUAAUGUCCAAUCACGCCACCUUCAAACAAACCAUAUAGAAUGAGAUCGAGAAGUCCGGUACAGGGGCCUUCACAUCAUUCUUACUAAACACCACUUCCCUAAUUUCAUCCUCCUCAAAUUAUCUCUCUAUCCAACUAGCAUCCUCCUUGAUGAUAGUGGAAAAGUCCAAACCCUCCAACUCUAGCCUCCACUCAAACUACUCCCGAUAGAGAUUUUGAUAGAAACUUAUAAGUUGAGUCCCAAUAUCCUAUGGGUCUUCGUAGGUAACCUCAUCUACCUUCAGCAAUGUAAUAGAAUUGUUGCACCGAUUGGAAUUAGCAACCCUAUGAAAGAACUUGGUGCAUUUGUCACCGUCCUUCAACCACGUGAACCUAGAUUUCGGACAUCAAGCAAUCUUUUUCAUCUCCACCAAUCCGUCCAACUCUCCUCGUAACACUCCAUGCCUCUAUCUCCUUUCCAUCCAACCCUCGACUAUCCUCCUACCUAUCCAACUCUUUAAUGUCUGAAAGACACUAAUUUUUACGACAGUUUAUGUCUCCUAUCAUUUCCUCAUUAUACUUAAAUUCUUAAUUGGCAUUCAUAUUCAGAAGAAAUUAUCAAAUUUAUUCUCAAGAUAAAAUGUUAUCCCGGAUGUUUCAUAUCUAUUAUUACUUGAUCACAUGCUUGCAAGUUGACUUCAAUUUCUACAUGGUUUAAAAUUAUUUUCUUUUCCCCUAUAGUACAACUGUUUGUGCAAAAUCAAUUAACAGCAGCAAAAGACCAUUUUGGGGACUGGUGCGUCAAUAGAUAGGUAACAGUUAACAAUUAAAAGGCUCCUUGCCUGUUUAUGAAUUUGUUUAUUUAUGUGAUUUUGUGUUUUCUUUUUGUUAAUAUUAAAGAUUGUAUUUCGUGGCUCGUAUAGUGCCUUAAAGAUUUAAUUUCGAAGAUUUUAGCAUUGACUUUAUUGAUCACCUUUGGUUUAAUAGAAAAUCUUUUGGGAAAAUUAGGCUCAUUACCCCCAAAAAAUAAGAAAUUAAAAUAAUACUAUUAAAACUAAUUUAAAUACUUAAUCCCGUAAUAAAUACACCCAAAUCCCCUCAAAACCCCAAAACAACCCAAUGCUCAUUACUGAUUAUCGACAAAAAAUCCCAAAAUCACCACAAAAUCCACAACUGAAGUUUCUUCGUAUGAAAAAUAUAGGGCAAAAAAAAAAACCAUAGCCAACCUGUAAAUCAUUCCAUGGCGACUUUGGUAUUUCGAAUUGAUAAUUAUUUAUCCCUCUAUAGACUAUUUCUUGAAGCUUGUCGCUUUAGUUUGCAUCAUUAACGGUAAGAGCUAUUAAUCAAGUCCGUCCUUUUCUUUUUCUGUUGAAAUAUUUGCAUUCGAUUCGAGUUUUGAUGCAUUUCUCCUUUUUUCUUUUUUUCCCCCUUUUUUUUGACAUUCUAAG
Molecule: long non-coding RNA, 2057 nt
Filed under: Olea europaea subsp. europaea
Lineage: Eukaryota; Viridiplantae; Streptophyta; Magnoliopsida; Lamiales; Oleaceae
Source: RNAcentral